CAGCCGCCGCGGGAAUACGAAGGGUGCAAGCGUUAAUCGGAAUUACUGGGCGUAAAGCGUGCGUAGGCGGUGAGUUAAGUCUGCUGUGAAAUCCCUGGGCUCAACCUGGGAAUGGCAGUGGAUACUGGCUCGCUAGAGUGUGUCAGAGGAUGGUGGAAUUCCCGGUGUAGCGGUGAAAUGCGUAGAGAUCGGGAGGAACAUCAGUGGCGAAGGCGGCCAUCUGGGACAACACUGACGCUGAGGCACGAAAGCGUGGGGAGCAAACAGGAUUAGAUACCCCCGUAGUCCCUGUCUCUUAUAC
This 301-nucleotide ribosomal RNA is filed under the name uncultured bacterium. Its description in RNAcentral is "partial 16S ribosomal RNA". It matches the Rfam family "Bacterial small subunit ribosomal RNA", at positions 509 to 807 of the family's 1533-position model. The record is from RNAcentral.